This 243-nucleotide unclassified non-coding RNA is filed under the name Glomeromycetes sp. RNAcentral describes it as "partial contains 5.8S ribosomal RNA and internal transcribed spacer 2". The stretch from base 1 to 65 matches the Rfam family "5.8S ribosomal RNA", at positions 84 to 154 of the family's 154-position model. Lineage: Eukaryota; Fungi; Glomeromycota; Glomeromycetes. The record is from RNAcentral.
GUGAAUCAUCAAAUUUUUGAACGCAAAUUGCACUCUCUGCUGAGCGUAUGACUGUUUGAGGGUCAGUAUUAAUAAAAAUCGGUGUGUUUCUUCUUUGUGACGCUCCGGAGUUUGGGUCAUCUUAAUAUCCUUUAGGUUUUAAGAUGCUUAAAAUUGACUUUUUUUUCGCAUUUUGGAUGUACAUGAAUUCUUUUUGUUCUUCGUCUGUCUUAAUGUUUAAAAUCCUAUUAGAUUCGUACAUAU